This 484-nucleotide ribosomal RNA is filed under the name uncultured bacterium. Its description in RNAcentral is "partial 16S ribosomal RNA". It matches the Rfam family "Bacterial small subunit ribosomal RNA", at positions 30 to 507 of the family's 1533-position model. The record is from RNAcentral.
AUUGAACGCUGGCGGCAGGCCUAACACGUGCAAGUCGAGCGGAUGAAGGGAGCUUGCUCCUGGAUUCAGCGGCGGACGGGUGAGUAAUGCCUAGGAAUCUGCCUGGUAGUGGGGGAUAACGUCCGGAAACGGGCGCUAAUACCGCAUACGUCCUGAGGGAGAAAGUGGGGGAUCUUCGGACCCCACGCUAUCAGAUGAGCCUAGGUCGGAUUAGCUAGUUGGUGGGGUAAAGGCCUACCAAGGCGACGAUCCGUAACUGGUCUGAGAGGAUGAUCAGUCACACUGGAACUGAGACACGGUCCAGACUCCUACGGGAGGCAGCAGUGGGGAAUAUUGGACAAUGGGCGAAAGCCUGAUCCAGCCAUGCCGCGUGUGUGAAGAAGGUCUUCGGAUUGUAAAGCACUUUAAGUUGGGAGGAAGGGCAGUAAGUUAAUACCUUGCUGUUUUGACGUUACCAACAGAAUAAGCACCGGCUAACUUCGUG